GCCAGAGCUCUAUCAACAUCGAUGACAUUCUUCACUCAGGUGUCGGAUCUGAUUACUCGCGGUAGUGCCGCCACUCAGCUGGCAGCGGCGCGGAUUGUCGGGGGACUAUCCUUGAGUGAGGAGAUUAAGAGGUCGAUGUCGGGAUGCAUCGGUGCUCUGAUAAAGAUGUUGGAGUCGCCAAAACCGGCGGCAGCCCAGGAGGUUGCCGCGGGGGCGCUGGUGGUGCUGUUGU
Molecule: unclassified non-coding RNA, 232 nt
Filed under: Hevea brasiliensis (rubber tree)
Lineage: Eukaryota; Viridiplantae; Streptophyta; Magnoliopsida; Malpighiales; Euphorbiaceae
Source: RNAcentral